UGUAUGCCUAUAUAGGGGGAUCUUUGGAUCGGUAAGCGAGGAAGGAUGAAACUUAAAUCGUUAUUCAUAGCGAAUUGUGUUCUUUCUAUCUGUGUUUUUUGAAUUUUGGUAAGGGUUACCUUUGGUAAUUGGUUCGUUUCAAUGCCGCUGCUACUCUCUUUAUGACCGAUAAUUUUCGUGCUAUUUAAUAGUAAUCAGUGAUUGUCGUUAAUGUGUAGCUGAAUUGUGUCAAGGAGUUUUGGGCUUGAGGCGUAUUGGCUAACGUACUGAAUUUAAGCAUAUUAAUAAGUACGAAUCAAAAUAAUUAUGAAGCCACAAGUACUGGCGAAGGAAAAUGGUUCGCGGUUAGCUAAGACAUCGCAAAUGCGUAGUUGUUGUGCGUUUGACUAAUAAGUUGGAAUUUAGAUCGAGUCUACAUCGAAUUAUGUGGAGAGUUUGGUGAGAUCCCAGAUAUAUCUUGGCUUCAGCUACUGUCGUUGUAAGUAGCGUUACUUCAAAAUGUAGCGUGAAUUCGGAGGUAAUCGCCUUCGAAACGUAAUUCAUAUCUGAUUCCGAUAGUGUAACAGUACCGUGAGGGAAAAGUGAAAAGGCGGCUAUAAAGCCUGUUAAAAGAAACUCAACUAUAUCGGUAGAAGGUUGUUUGUAGGACAAGCUGAGCUUGAAAACCUCAGUGGGUAGGAGUUGUGCUAUGAUCUCAUCACUAUGCGUCUUACCUGUAACGCCCGUCUUGAAACACGGACCAAGGAGUCAUUCCAUGCUGCGAACUGAAACCUUAUUUGUGAAAGUACAUUUAAGUGGCAUUGAAUGGACCCGAAAGGUGGUGAACUAUUCCUGAGAGGGUAUACGCCAGGGGAAACCCUGGCAGAUGGCCUAUCUGAUACUGACGUGCAAUUCGUUCAUUAUAUUUGGGAAUAGGGGCGAAAGACUAAUCGAACCACUUAGUAGCUGGUUCCUCUCGAAGUUUCUCCUAGGAUAGCGGACAUGAUAAGAAAUCACAUGGAUUAGAGCAAUGUUUUGAGGAUCCGGGGACAACUGUUCUUGACCUAGUCACAAACUACUAACGCAUGUUGGCUGCCGGUUCAUUGGCCGUAAGUCUUCGAUUCUCAUGUCUCGUGGACCGUUUUUGGUAAGCAGAUACGGUGCUUUGGAAUGCUCCAAGCAUGAUGGAAAGGGAUAUAACUCUUCGUUUAUUUCUUUAAAAGGUGUUUAUACAUUUAAACAGUCCGAGGAUGGCCAUGGAAGUAGGAAUUCCCUAAGGAGUGUGUAACAACUCACGGACCGAAUGGAUAAGCCCUUAAAAUGGACUGUGUUAAAACGAUGGGCCCGUAUCAUCAUAGCUCAAUAUAUUCUAUUGAGUUUGUAGAGAGGCGUGUCCAUUGAAUGGAAGUUCGGUUUUGAGACCGGGUGGAUCAAUGGACAUUGUAGAUCUUGGUAGAAGUAGCAACAUUUUAGUUUUAAACUAAAAGACGGAUGAAGGAGAGGUUUUUAUGGAUACAUUAUAUGGCUAUAAGUGAACCGAUCUUAACAACAUUAAUUAUGUUGGAAAAGGAAUCAGGCUUUCAUUCCUGAGUUCGGAGGAUUAAUAAUUGCGGUGACGUUUCAUCUACUAAAAUGUCUAGGGUGUACUUUCUGGCUGCGUUCUCUAUGCUCCUUAACUCCCUACGUAUUGUUGAAGAGAUUUAGUCUAAGACACAAUAUUAGGGCAGGAAUUAUGUAUUUAUACAAGAUCGGUACACCAUUGCGCUCACUUUAAGUAGAUAAUAUGUCCUCCGAUUCGUACCAAUAACCGCAUCAGGUCUCUAGGGUUCAAAACCUUUCGUUUGUGGAAUAAAAUAGGCUAGGGAAGUCGGCAAAAUAGAUCUGUAACCUUGGAAAAAGGGUUGGCUCUGCAAGCUGUAAGGUAGUAACUUUGUUUGGCGUAUGGGAGUUUGACUCACCGUAUUAGUUAAAUAUUGCGAACUGUCUUUAAAAUGCUAUAGUAGAACCGAGACAUUAAGGGGAAUCCGACAGUUUAACUAAAACCAAGCACUCUGAAUGUGGAAACAUCAGUACAGAAUGUGAAUUCUGCCCGGUGCUUUGAAUGUCAAUGUGAGGAGACUCAUUUAAGCGCGGGUUAACGGCAGGCGUAACUAUGACGCUUUCAACGUAGCAAAAUGCCUCGUCAUCUAAUUAGUGACUCGCAUGAACGGAUUAAUGAGAUUCCUACUGUCCCUGUCUAUUUUCCAGCGAAUCUACAGCUUAGGGAACGGGCUAAGCUUUGACAGAACGGCAAGAAGACCCUGUUGAGGUUGACUCUAGCUAAUUUUUGUACAGUUGCACAAGUGGAGUAGUGUAUGUGGGAGCUUUGGCAACAAUGAAACACCACAACAUUUGACGCGGCUGAACUUACUCACUGUGUUGUUUUUCUUUCUUAAGCAUUUAGGGAAUAGUGGGGACAUUCAUUGGUUGGGAGUUUGGCUGGGGCGGUACAUCUGUUAAAAUUCACCACAGGUGUCCAAUGAUUAUCUCAGUUAGAUCAGAAAUCUAACGUAGACUAAAAGGAGAAAAGAUAGUUUUAUCAUGUCCUUCAAAAGCGGACACGAUUGCGAAAGCAAGGCCUAUCGAUCCUUUCAGAAACCGGAGGUUGGACUGAGAGGUGUCUGAAAACUUACCACAGGGAUAACUGAUUUGUGGCAGCCAAGCGUUCAUAGCGACGUUGCUUUUUGAUCCUUCGAUGUCGGCUCUUCCUAUCAUGAAGUUGCAGAAGGCUUCAAGUGUUAGAUUGUUCACCUAUUAAAAGGGAUCGUGAGCUGGGUUCAGACCGUCGUGAGACAGGUUAGUUUUAUCCGUCUGUCUUGUCAAGCGUUUCAGUAGCUUGGCCCAGUACGAGAGGAACUGUCCCGCGCUUCCACUUUUAAAGCAAUCGCCAGAAAGGGUGGGUUGCGGCGAUAAGAAGAUGAAUUUUAUGCUGACUGCCUCUAAAUAUAAAAUUCAGUUGGAAUAGUUUGAUUUCGGCCAAAUCGGAAUUAGUCCUGGAUACGGCCCGUGAUUAUGUGGGCUACGACCGCAGCGUGCACUAAUCGUAUGAGCUAUGAAGUAGCUUUUGCUGCAACAUGUUGAGCGAUAAUUGUAUGACUUUACGAAUACAAUAGGUAACGUAAAUUACCGACGGACAAAGUUUGGGUUACAUAGAUUCUUUGUUUAUCGUAUUGUUCUUUAUCAG
RNAcentral lists this ribosomal RNA (3202 nucleotides) under marine sediment metagenome. RNAcentral's name for it is "eukaryotic LSU rRNA". It matches the Rfam family "Eukaryotic large subunit ribosomal RNA". The record is from RNAcentral.